RNAcentral lists this ribosomal RNA (286 nucleotides) under uncultured bacterium. RNAcentral describes it as "partial 16S ribosomal RNA". It matches the Rfam family "Bacterial small subunit ribosomal RNA", at positions 46 to 333 of the family's 1533-position model. The record is from RNAcentral.
GGCCUAACACAUGCAAGUCGAGCGGAUGACGGGAGCUUGCUCCUUGAUUCAGCGGCGGACGGGUGAGUAAUGCCUANGAAUCUGCCUGGUAGUGGGGGACAACGUUUCGAAAGGAACGCUAAUACCNCAUACGUCCUACGGGAGAAAGCAGGGGACCUUCNGGCCUUGCGCUAUCAGAUGAGCCUAGGUCGGAUUAGCUAGUUGGUGGGGUAAUGGCUCACCAAGGCGACNAUCCGUAACUGGUCUGAGAGGAUGAUCANUCACACUGGAACUGAGACACCGUCCA